GGGACACGUGAAACCCUGUGGGAAGCAGGAGGGACCACCCUCCAAGGCUAAAUACUACCUAGUGACCGAUAGCGUAUAGUACCGUGAGGGAAAGGUGAAAAGAACCCCGGGAGGGGAGUGAAAUAGAACCUGAAACCCUGCACUUACAAGCUGUGGAAGCACAUUUCUUGUGUGACCGCGUACUUUUUGUAGAACGGGCCAACGAGUUACGUUAAGUAGCAAGGUUAAGCACUUAAGGUGCGGAGCCGUAGCGAAAGCGAGUUUUAACUGAGCGUUCAGUUACUUGACGUAGACCCGAAACCGGGCGACCUACCCAUGAGCAGGAUGAAGCGAAAGUAAAAUUUCGUGGAGGUCCGAACCCACGAGCGUUGAAAAGCUCGGGGAUGACUUGUGGGUAGCGGUGAAAUUCCAAUCGAGCCCGGAGAUAGCUGGUUCUCCCCGAAAUAGCUUUAGGGCUAGCCUCAAGGUGAGAGAUACGGAGGUAGAGCACUGAAUGUCCUAGGGGGUAUUGCACCUACCGAAGACUAUCAAACUCCGAAUGCCGUCAUCUUAUACUUGGGAGUCAGACUGUGGGUGAUAAGAUUCAUAGUCGAAAGGGCAACAGCCCAGAUCGUCAGCUAAGGUCCCUAAAUGUAAGUUAAGUGGUAAAGGAUGUGGGAUUGCACAGACAACCAGGAUGUUGGCUUAGAAGCAGCCACUCAUUCAAAGAGUGCGUAAUAGCUCACUGGUCGAGUGAUCCUGCGCCGAAGAUUUCCGGGGCUAAAACUUACUACCGAAGCUACGGCAUCAGUAAUGAUGGGUAGGGGAGCUUCCCAUACGGGUUGAAGCAUGACCGUAAGGACAUGUGGACAGUAUGGGAGUGAGAAUGUUGGCAUGAGUAGCGAGAUGUGGGUGAGAAUCCCACAGGCCGUAAACCCAAGGUUUCCAGGGGAAGGUUCGUCCGCCCUGGGUUAGUCGGGACCUAAGCUGAGGCCGAAAGGCGUAGGUGAUGGACAACAGGUUGAUAUUCCUGUACUACCGAUAACC
This 1026-nucleotide ribosomal RNA is filed under the name Clostridioides difficile. Its description in RNAcentral is "partial 23S ribosomal RNA". It matches the Rfam family "Bacterial large subunit ribosomal RNA", at positions 419 to 1455 of the family's 2925-position model. The record is from RNAcentral. Lineage: Bacteria; Bacillati; Bacillota; Clostridia; Peptostreptococcales; Peptostreptococcaceae.